UUUUNGAGUUUGAUCCUGGCUCAGGAUGAACGCUGGCGGUAUGCUUAACACAUGCAAGUCGAACGGUCUCUUCGGAGAUAGUGGCGGACGGGUGAGUAACGCGUGAGAAUCUGGCUUCAGGUCGGGGACAACCACGGGAAACUGUGGCUAAUACCGGAUAUGCCGAGAGGUGAAAGGCUUGCUGCCUGAAGAUGAGCUCGCGUCUGAUUAGCUAGUAGGUGUGGUAAAAGCGCACCUAGGCGACGAUCAGUAGCUGGUCUGAGAGGAUGAUCAGCCACACUGGGACUGAGACACGGCCCAGACUCCUACGGGAGGCAGCAGUGGGGAAUUUUCCGCAAUGGGCGAAAGCCUGACGGAGCAAUACCGCGUGAGGGAGGAAGGCUCUUGGGUUGUAAACCUCUUUUCUCAGGGAAGAAAAAAAUGACGGUACUUGAGGAAUAAGCAUCGGCUAACUCCGUGCCAGCAGCCGCGGUAAUACGGAGGAUGCAAGCGUUAUCCGGAAUGAUUGGGCGUAAAGGGUCCGCAGGUGGCUAUGUAAGUCUGCUGUUAAAGAACCUAGCUUAACUAGGUAAAAGCAGUGGAAACUACAAGGCUAGAGUGCGUUCGGGGUAGAGGGAAUUCCUGGUGUAGCGGUGAAAUGCGUAGAUAUCAGGAAGAACACCAGUGGCGAAGGCGCUCUACUAGGCCGCAACUGACACUGAGGGACGAAAGCUAGGGGAGCGAAUGGGAUUAGAUACCCCAGUAGUCCUAGCCGUAAACGAUGGAUACUAGGCGUGGCUNGUAUCGACCCGAGCCNNNGCCGAAGCAAAAAA
RNAcentral lists this ribosomal RNA (812 nucleotides) under Nodularia spumigena IFCC-NS03. Its description in RNAcentral is "bacterial SSU rRNA". It matches the Rfam family "Bacterial small subunit ribosomal RNA", at positions 1 to 864 of the family's 1533-position model. Lineage: Bacteria; Bacillati; Cyanobacteriota; Cyanophyceae; Nostocales; Nodulariaceae. The record is from RNAcentral.